This 81-nucleotide transfer RNA is filed under the name Jeotgalibacillus malaysiensis. RNAcentral's name for it is "tRNA-Leu (TAG) (tRNA-Leu-TAG-3-1)". It matches the Rfam family "tRNA". Rfam says of the family: Transfer RNA (tRNA) molecules are approximately 80 nucleotides in length. Their secondary structure includes four short double-helical elements and three loops (D, anti-codon, and T loops). Further hydrogen bonds mediate the characteristic L-shaped molecular structure. tRNAs have two regions of fundamental functional importance: the anti-codon, which is responsible for specific mRNA codon recognition, and the 3' end, to which the tRNAs corresponding amino acid is attached (by aminoacyl-tRNA synthetases). tRNAs cope with the degeneracy of the genetic code in two manners: having more than one tRNA (with a specific anti-codon) for a particular amino acid; and 'wobble' base-pairing, i.e. permitting non-standard base-pairing at the 3rd anti-codon position. The record is from RNAcentral. Lineage: Bacteria; Bacillati; Bacillota; Bacilli; Caryophanales; Caryophanaceae.
GCCUCCUUGGUGGAAUGGUAGACACGCUGGUCUUAGGAACCAGUGCCGUAAGGCGUGAGAGUUCGAAUCUCUCAGGAGGUA